RNAcentral lists this ribosomal RNA (253 nucleotides) under uncultured zooxanthellae Symbiodinium. Its description in RNAcentral is "partial 18S ribosomal RNA". It matches the Rfam family "Eukaryotic small subunit ribosomal RNA", at positions 1334 to 1593 of the family's 1831-position model. Lineage: Eukaryota; Dinophyceae; Suessiales; Symbiodiniaceae. The record is from RNAcentral.
AAUGAGACCUUAACCUGAUAAAUAGUUACAUGUAACCUCGGUUACAUGGGCAACUUCUUAGAGGGACUUUGUGUGUUUAACGCAAGGAAGUUUGAGGCAAUAACAGGUCUGUGAUGCCCUUAGAUGUCCUGGGCUGCACGCGCGCUACACUGAUGCGCUCAACGAGUUUACGAUCUUGCCUGAAAUGGCUGGGUAAUCUUUUUUUAAUGCUAUAUUUGAUGGGUCAUAUGAUCCGGAGUGCAGUUAUAAUUUA